Zingiber officinale is the source of this 455-nucleotide long non-coding RNA. RefSeq lists it as uncharacterized. Lineage: Eukaryota; Viridiplantae; Streptophyta; Magnoliopsida; Zingiberales; Zingiberaceae. The record is from RefSeq and is a predicted model, not a curated record. The transcript has 2 exons.
GCCAAUCAAUAUUUUCUAUGCAAAAAAUACAAUGCUCACUAUCUUCCCUUUAUAUAUACUCUCCCUGCCACUGUCUGGUAACUCAGAAAAUCAUAACUCAAGAUGGAGUUGGAAGUUGUUAAGAGAAUUCUCAUUCUCUUCCUUCUUGCCUUAGCUACAUCGCCUUCAGAAUCACUUCCAGGAAACCGAAAAUUGAUGUACUAUAAAGCUCCUGUUUUGGCCGGAGCUGAUGCUAGAUUCCUGAUGGUUAGAACCAAUGACUAUGGAACGUAUGAUCCUUCUCCUGCUAUGGACAAGCCUCCUUACAAGCAAAUACCUAAUUGAUGCUACAGUGAGGUAGUUCAAGAGAGGAUAAUCCAUUUAGUGCAAUGAAUGGAGAUGUAAGCAUAUGAUAUUAACUGAGUGUAUAGUGAACAAGUAUAUUUGAUGAUAAUAGAUAAGCUCUGUAUUAUGUA